GGACAUAGAAAGAAAAAGUGAUAAAAUAAAUAGUAAGAGUCAUUCAUGAACAGAAAAGGUCGUUCAUGAAAGAUCAUAUGUGAAUAGUAAGAGUCAUGUGUAAAUAGUAAGAGUCAUUAUGUAAAAGUUUUUUGUUUUCUAGUGUUGGCCGAAAUAAAAAAGGCCAUGUGUAAAGUAGUGUCGGCCACUUGGCCAAAGCAGUA
Molecule: long non-coding RNA, 203 nt
Filed under: Solanum lycopersicum (tomato)
Lineage: Eukaryota; Viridiplantae; Streptophyta; Magnoliopsida; Solanales; Solanaceae
Description: partial TCONS_00067531
Source: RNAcentral